AGCUUAACCUGCGUGGAAGGGAAUCAGCUUGAGGCGAUGAGAUAAACGUCGGUGAAUACUAUGAAUGAAAGUCACAAAUAUGGAGGAAGAAGUGUCCAAACGCACAUAAUCCUUCCGUGUCAUGUAGGAGGAGGAGGAGGAGGAGGAGGAGUCUGCUACCGAGAAGGUUUCACCAGGCCGGCUGGCGGGGACAGGAGCCCUGUGCACGAUUGCCAUGGCAACAACGAUGGGGAGACAAGAUGGAGGAGUCAAAGCUGGCCUGUGCCUCCUUUACAGGAGAGGAAGCUGUGUACGGAGGCAGAAGGUCGACCACACUGACGUUGUUUUCAGACCUGCGCUGACGUCCAGACAUUUUCCUGAACAUUUCCAGAGGGGCUGAAUGCGAGAACGCAGAUGUUUGCUCCGGACAUUUUCCAGGAAUUUCCCUGCCAGCCCCCCUUGUCAGAUUUCCGGAAAAAAAACCCGGCUAUC
Molecule: RNA transcript, 471 nt
Organism: Scophthalmus maximus (turbot)
Lineage: Eukaryota; Metazoa; Chordata; Actinopteri; Pleuronectiformes; Scophthalmidae
Exons: 3
Source: RefSeq, a predicted model, not a curated record